CCUCGGGAAGGCAGCAGUGGGGAAUCUUAGACAAUGGGCGCAAGCCUGAUCUAGCCAUGCCGCGUGAGUGAUGAAGGCCUUAGGGUCGUAAAGCUCUUUCGCCUGUGAUGAUAAUGACAGUAGCAGGUAAAGAAACCCCGGCUAGCUCCGUGCCAGCAGCCGCGGUAAUACGGAGGGGGUUAGCGUUGUUCGGAAUUACUGGGCGUAAAGCGCGCGUAGGCGGAUUAGAAAGUUGGGGGUGAAAUCCCGGGGCUCAACCCCGGAACUGCCUCCAAAACUGCUAGUCUAGAGUUCGAGAGAGGUGAGUGGAAUUCCGAGUGUAGAGGUGAAAUUCGUAGAUAUUCGGAGGAACACCAGUGGCGAAGGCGGCUCACUGGCUCGAUACUGACGCUGAGGUGCGAAAGUGUGGGGAGCAAACAGGAUUAGAUACCCUGGUAGUCCACACCGUAAACGAUGAAUGCCAGUCGUCGGAUAGUAUACUAUUCGGUGACACACCUAACGGAUUAAGCAUUCCGCUUGGGGAGUACGGUCGCAAGAUUAAAACUCAAAGGAAUUGACGG
Molecule: ribosomal RNA, 560 nt
Filed under: uncultured bacterium
Lineage: Bacteria
Description: bacterial SSU rRNA
Rfam family: Bacterial small subunit ribosomal RNA
Source: RNAcentral